CCUACGGGUGGCAGCAGUGAGGAAUAUUGGGCAAUGGGCGCAAGCCUGACCCAGCAACGCCGCGUGGAGGAAGACGGCCUUCGGGUUGUAAACUCCUUUUACGGGGGAAACGGUACCCCGAGAAUAAGUCACGGCUAACUACGUGCCAGCAGCCGCGGUAAUACGUAGGUGACAAGCGUUAUCCGGAAUUACUGGGCGUAAAGCGCACGCAGGCGGCGCAGUAAGUCUGAUGUGAAAUCUCCCGGCUUAACUGGGAGGGGUCAUUGGAAACUGCAGUGCUUGAGGCGGUGAGAGGGGUGUAGAAUUCCCGGUGUAGUGGUGGAAUGCGUAGAUAUCGGGAGGAAUACCAGUGGCGAAAGCGGCACCCUGGCACUACCUGACGCUCAUGUGCGAAGGCGUGGGGAGCGAACGGGAUUAGAUACCCUGGUAGUC
This 432-nucleotide ribosomal RNA is filed under the name uncultured bacterium. RNAcentral describes it as "partial 16S ribosomal RNA". It matches the Rfam family "Bacterial small subunit ribosomal RNA", at positions 338 to 795 of the family's 1533-position model. The record is from RNAcentral.